GAGUGCGAUCAUACUAGCACUAAAGCACCGGAUCCCAUCAGAACUCCGAAGUUAAGCAUGCUUGGGCGAGAGUAGUACUAGGAUGGGUGACCCCCGAGGAAGUCCUCGUGUUGCACUCC
RNAcentral lists this ribosomal RNA (119 nucleotides) under Musa acuminata subsp. malaccensis (wild Malaysian banana). Lineage: Eukaryota; Viridiplantae; Streptophyta; Magnoliopsida; Zingiberales; Musaceae. The record is from RNAcentral.